Molecule: long non-coding RNA, 660 nt
Filed under: Carica papaya (papaya)
Lineage: Eukaryota; Viridiplantae; Streptophyta; Magnoliopsida; Brassicales; Caricaceae
Description: long non-coding RNA (CPAP_LNC000641)
Source: RNAcentral
CAUAAACCUCAAUACCCUAUCUGGUAUGAGGGUGAAACGGGUCGUCCCCAUACGCCGUCCGGUAUGGGCGCAAAAACACAUAAGGUCUCUAUACCCCGUCCGGUAUAAGAGACCACGUUCCCGGUAGGGUUCCCUACAGACCCGGUCUGUCCACCAUCUCCCAAGAUAUCUAGUCAGGCUGUCCACAUUAUCCAUUUAUCAAUUCACAUAACCUUUUUACCAUUUUCUUUGGUCUCAAUCAUCCAAUCAUACACAAACAUAUAAACCAGUAAUCGACACCAAAUUAAACAACACGGUAUCGGGUUCACCAUAAUACAAACUAUAAUAAAAGAAAUCAUGAUUCAUGCAUACGAGACCAUAAAAUAAAUACAUCAAAUAUCAUACUACAUUUAAUACUGAAAAAUAGAUCAAACAACAACCGACCAACAAUGUAUCAGAUUCGGGCUCCAUUGGCAACCUCAAUCAAUUAUACAUAUCUAUAAAGUCACAAAAUACUGUUUAAUUAUUUAUUAAGCUUUAAUGUCGUGAUAGGAGGUAGGGUGAGAGAUACUUACUUGUUUCGGGGUCUGAAAUUGGCUCUACAGUGUGGUUACGGGCUGUCCCUAAAUUCUCUGAAUUUUUUUCGAGAAACUGAAACGCACUACCGGUACCUGCACGUGU